RNAcentral lists this ribosomal RNA (433 nucleotides) under uncultured bacterium. RNAcentral's name for it is "partial 16S ribosomal RNA". It matches the Rfam family "Bacterial small subunit ribosomal RNA", at positions 29 to 507 of the family's 1533-position model. The record is from RNAcentral.
AACGAACGCUGGCGGCAUGCCUAACACAUGCAAGUCGAACGAGACCUUCGGGUCUAGUGGCGCACGGGUGCGUAACGCGUGGGAACCUGCCCUUAGGUUCGGAAUAACUCCCCGAAAGGGGUGCUAAUACCGGAUAAUUUCUUCGGACCAAAGAUUUAUCGCCUUUGGAUGGGCCCGCGUUGGAUUGGCUAGUUGGUAGGGUAAAAGCCUACCAAGGCGACGAUCCAUAGCUGGUCUGAGAGGAUGAUCAGCCACACUGGGACUGAGACACGGCCCAGACUCCUACGGGAGGCAGCAGUGGGGAAUAUUGGACAAUGGGCGAAAGCCUGAUCCAGCAAUGCCGCGUGAGUGAUGAAGGCCUUAGGGUUGUAAAGCUCUUUUACCCGGGAUGAUAAUGACAGUACCGGGAGAAUAAGCUCCGGCUAACUCCGUG